This 440-nucleotide ribosomal RNA is filed under the name uncultured bacterium. RNAcentral describes it as "partial 16S ribosomal RNA". It matches the Rfam family "Bacterial small subunit ribosomal RNA", at positions 338 to 795 of the family's 1533-position model. The record is from RNAcentral.
CCUACGGGUGGCAGCAGUGGGGGAUAUUGCACAAUGGGGGAAACCCUGAUGCAGCGACGCCGCGUGGGUGAAGAAGCGCCUCGGCGCGUAAAGCCCUGUCAGCAGGGAAGAAAAUGACGGUACCUGAAGAAGAAGCCCCGGCUAACUCCGUUCCAGCAGCCGCGGUAAUACGUGGGGGGCAAGCGUUAUCCGGGUUUACUGGGUGGAAAGGGGGCGCAGGCGGCGGUGCAAGCCAGGAGUGAAAGGCCGGGGCCCAACCCCGGGACUGCCCUUGGAACUGCGUGGCUGGAGUGCAGGAGGGGCAGGCGGAAUUCCUGGUGUAGCGGUGAAAUGCGUAGAUAUCAGGAGGAACACCGGUGGCGAAGGCGGCCUGCUGGACUGCAACUGACGUUGAGGCCCGAAAGCGUGGGGAGCAAACAGGAUUAGAUACCCCAGUAGUC